UGUAAAAGACAUUGUGUCCUCUGUGAAAGAAGGUCGAUUAAGCUAAAAGUAUGGGAUAUAGUACUGUAUUUAUUUUUGUUCUUCUCUGUUUCUCGUCGUUCACUGCCUAUGCCUCGUGGAUCAAAAUAUCCGGAUACAAGUUCAUCAGUGGUAUCAGCGUGGGCACAGAAGCUACUUACCAUGGCGAUUUAGCUAGUGCCAGGCCUCUCUGCCAACAGAGAUGCGACCAACUCACUUCUUGCAACGCGUUCCGUCUGUAAAGCUUUGUGGGCACAGUGUUCUGCACUCUGUUUGAAACGAUCACUGAUUACUCAUGCCCGACUGAUAGUGUUGAUUGGAACUGCAUGUUUGCUGACGGGGAGUCGUGGAAGAAAAUCGACUCGAGGAGUUAGAAGGGGAAACGACAUAUGGCUUAUCUCACAAACAUUUAGUAACUCAAAUUAAAGAUAAACAUUAAAACUUUAAA
Long non-coding RNA from Stylophora pistillata, 466 nucleotides. The record is from RefSeq and is a predicted model, not a curated record. NCBI's taxonomy places the organism in Eukaryota, Metazoa, Cnidaria, Anthozoa, Scleractinia, Pocilloporidae.